This 74-nucleotide transfer RNA is filed under the name Elusimicrobiota bacterium. RNAcentral describes it as "Elusimicrobia bacterium (mine drainage metagenome) tRNA-Lys". It matches the Rfam family "tRNA". Rfam says of the family: Transfer RNA (tRNA) molecules are approximately 80 nucleotides in length. Their secondary structure includes four short double-helical elements and three loops (D, anti-codon, and T loops). Further hydrogen bonds mediate the characteristic L-shaped molecular structure. tRNAs have two regions of fundamental functional importance: the anti-codon, which is responsible for specific mRNA codon recognition, and the 3' end, to which the tRNAs corresponding amino acid is attached (by aminoacyl-tRNA synthetases). tRNAs cope with the degeneracy of the genetic code in two manners: having more than one tRNA (with a specific anti-codon) for a particular amino acid; and 'wobble' base-pairing, i.e. permitting non-standard base-pairing at the 3rd anti-codon position. The record is from RNAcentral. Lineage: Bacteria; Pseudomonadati; Elusimicrobiota.
GGACGAUUAGCUCAACUGGUUAGAGCAGGACCCUCUUAAGGUCAAGGUUCUCGGUUCGAGUCCGAGAUCGUCCA